Molecule: long non-coding RNA, 1294 nt
Filed under: Androctonus crassicauda
Lineage: Eukaryota; Metazoa; Arthropoda; Arachnida; Scorpiones; Buthidae
Source: RNAcentral
UGAUACAUAAAAUAUAAUUUUGAGUUUCUCCUUCUAAUAUAACUAACCGUGUAGAAAUAAUUUGACCGUGUUAAUCGACAAAAGAAAGAAAGAAAAAUUCGACAAGUACGAGAAUAUUUUAUUAACACAACUAACAGUUUUUAAACGGAUUUCAGCCAUUUCCGCCCCACGUGACGUUCUUGGCAGAUAACUUGGUGACGUCAGCUGCUGCUAAAAUUAGACGAAGUUCGCGUCGUAGACUAUUUUGACCGUUGCCAGUUGGAGUUGUUUGGACAAAAUGGGACCUAAGAAAACAGCUAAAAGCAGCAAAAAGUCGAACGCGGGUGAGAAAAAGGAGGAAAACAAAUCCGAUCAGAAAACCGAAGAGAUAGCCACUUCGGAAGUGGCAGCCGACACCCAGUCGAAUACCGCCAGCAGUAAGAAGGCUACCAAAGCUACAAAAAGGAAAAGAUCAGCAGGAAAAACUUCGUCCAAGAAGAAGAGAAAGACUUAAAAUGUGAGUUUGUUUGCUAGCAUUCUCUGACGUCAUUCUCGGUAACGUCGAUAUUUAAUCUUGCCAUUUUUAUUUUCGUAAACUUUUCCUUCUCGCCAAUCGUAUCGUUUUAUGUCGCCCGAUAUGUCGGUAAACAUCUUUUUAAUUCUCUAAUACACGUUUUCUCGAUGCCACAGCUACGCACGAAAAUGUUUUCCGGUUUCUAACUGUUGAAUACGGUAGAACUACGCGCCCAAACAACAACCGAUUCGCCAUUUUCGUUAUAGUUUGUUCGUUAUCUUUCUAACGUAGAAAGGAGGCAUUAUAAGGGGAUUUAUUUCGAAUAUUUUUCAAUCUAUAACAAUAGUAAACUGAAAUAACUCGUUUUUGUUUAACAAACCUACCAAAGAACAACAAAUUUGUAACGAAGAUUAUCGCUUGACUACAAGUUAAAUGUUGCCAACUUCAGAAGUGCAAUACGGGAAAAACUGCAUUUCGGAGAGGAACAACUGAAUUAAUCUUUUUAUAAAUGUUAAAAAGUGAUAAAAAUUUAGAUUUUAAAAUAAUAAUAAUUUAUUAGUCGUUAAUAAUUUUCGAUAAUAAGAAAUAUGAUUGAACAAAAUAUCGUAUAACUUCCACAACCAUGCUUCCGCCAUGCGGGGGGUUUCUUCCAGAUGAACUUCACGUUGGUGAUACUGUUUUUAACUUAUAGAAAAGUAGGAUUAUGUUACAAUGAAAAAUUACAUUGUAAUUGCAAAAGAUUGCAUAAAUUGACAGAAUUACAUUGCCGCUAAUGAAUUUCAACUUAAUUUCUGUUCGCUA